GGAUUGUGGCUCAGCGGCAGAGUGCUUGUCUCACACAUAUAAGGUACUGGGUUCGAUCCUCAGCACCA
RNAcentral lists this transfer RNA (68 nucleotides) under Marmota monax (woodchuck). RNAcentral describes it as "tRNA.Val". Lineage: Eukaryota; Metazoa; Chordata; Mammalia; Rodentia; Sciuridae. The record is from RNAcentral.